GACGAACGCUGGCGGCGUGCUUAACACAUGCAAGUCGAACGAAAAUACCAAGCUUGCUUGGUUGAUUAGUGGCGAACGGGUGAGUAACACGUGAGUAACCUGCCCCUUACUUUCCUGGAUAACUGCUCGAAAGGGUAGCUAAUACGGGAUAUUCUGACCAUCCUGCAUGGGUUGGUUUGGAAAGGUUGUUUUUCUGGUAAGGGAUGGGCUCGCGGCCUAUCAGCUUGUUGGUGGGGUGAUGGCCUACCAAGGCUUUGACGGGUAGCCGGCCUGAGAGGGUGGACGGUCACACUGGGACUGAGAUACGGCCCAGACUCCUACGGGAGGCAGCAGUGGGGAAUAUUGCACAAUGGGCGCAAGCCUGAUGCAGCGACGCCGCGUGAGGGAUGAAGGCCUUCGGGUUGUAAACCUCUUUCGUCAGGGAACAAGGCACUGUCUUUUUGGUGGUGUUGAGGGUACCUGGAUAAGAAGCGCCGGCUAACUACGUGCCAGCAGCCGCGGUAAUACGUAGGGCGCAAGCGUUGUCCGGAAUUAUUGGGCGUAAAGAGCUCGUAGGCGGCUGGUCGCGUCUGUCGUGAAAACUUCCGGCUCAACCGGGGGCUUGCGGUGGGUACGGGCCGGCUAGAGUGCGGUAGGGGUAACUGGAACUCCUGGUGUAGCGGUGGAAUGCGCAGAUAUCAGGAAGAACACCGAUGGCGAAGGCAGGUUACUGGGCCGUUACUGACGCUGAGGAGCGAAAGCGUGGGGGAGCGAACAGG
This 758-nucleotide ribosomal RNA is filed under the name uncultured Actinomyces sp. Its description in RNAcentral is "bacterial SSU rRNA". It matches the Rfam family "Bacterial small subunit ribosomal RNA", at positions 28 to 776 of the family's 1533-position model. Lineage: Bacteria; Bacillati; Actinomycetota; Actinomycetes; Actinomycetales; Actinomycetaceae. The record is from RNAcentral.